RNAcentral lists this ribosomal RNA (500 nucleotides) under uncultured bacterium. RNAcentral's name for it is "partial 16S ribosomal RNA". It matches the Rfam family "Bacterial small subunit ribosomal RNA", at positions 30 to 523 of the family's 1533-position model. The record is from RNAcentral.
AUUGAACGCUGGCGGCAUGCCUUACACAUGCAAGUCGAACGGCAGCGCGGACUUCGGUCUGGCGGCGAGUGGCGAACGGGUGAGUAAUACAUCGGAACGUACCCUGUUGUGGGGGAUGACUAGUCGAAAGAUUAGCUAAUACCGCAUACGACCUGAGGGUGAAAGUGGGGGACCGCAAGGCCUCACGCAGCAGGAGCGGCCGAUGUCUGAUUAGCUAGUUGGUGGGGUAAAGGCCCACCAAGGCGACGAUCAGUAGCUGGUCUGAGAGGACGAUCAGCCACACUGGGACUGAGACACGGCCCAGACUCAUACGGGAGGCAGCAGUGGGGAAUUUUGGACAAUGGGGGCAACCCUGAUCCAGCAAUGCCGCGUGUGUGAAGAAGGCCUUCGGGUUGUAAAGCACUUUUGUCCGGAAAGAAAUCGCGCUGGUUAAUACCUGGCGUGGAUGACGGUACCGGAAGAAUAAGCACCGGCUAACUACGUGCCAGCCGCCGCCGUAA